UCCAGAGCCCUUGAUGUCAUGCAAGUGAAGAAGUAUGUCCUCAACUAUCUUGCAGCAGUAACUGACUUAUUGCACCAACCUUGACUUCCAAAUGGAACAGUACAUCUACAAAAAGGAAGAGUGAUGGCUUCUACAUCACAAAUCUGAAGAGGACCUGGGAGAAGCAUCUGCUGGCAUCUCAUGCUAUUGUUGCCAUUGAAUACCCUGCCAAUGUCAAUGUCAUAUCAUAUAGGAAUGUUGGCCAGCAGGCUGUGCUGAAGUUGCUGCUGCCACUGGAGUCACUCCUAUUGCUGGCCACUUCACUCCUGGAAACUUCACUAGCCAGAUCUAGGCAGCCUUCCAAGAACUGCAUCUUCUGGUGGUUACUGGCCCCAGGGCUGACCACCAGCUGCUGACAGAGUCGUCUUAUGUUAACCUGCCUACCAACCAUUGCUCUGUGUGACACAGAUUCUCCUCUGCACUGUGUGGACAUUGCAAUCCCAUGCAACAACAAGGGCUCUCACUCAGUGGGUCUGAUGUGGUGGAGACUGACCCAGGAAGGUCUACACAUGAGUGUCACCAUCUCCCAUAAGCACUCAUGGGAGAAGGUCAUGCCCGAUAUUUACUUCUACAGAGAUCCUGAGCAGAUUGAAAAGGAAGAGGCAGGCUGCUGCUGAAAAAGCUGCGGCCAAGGAUGAAUUUCAGGGAGAAUGGACUGCUGCACCUCAUGAGUGCACCGCUACUCAGGCUGACUAGUCUAAAGACGUGCAGGUGCCCUCUGUGCCUAUUCAGCAGGUCCCUACUAAGACUGAAGCAUUCAGCCUGCCACAGAAGACUGGUCUGCAGCUCUCACUGCUCCGGCUGCUGAAUGGGUAGGAACAACCACUGAGUGUUCCUAA
RNAcentral lists this long non-coding RNA (878 nucleotides) under Homo sapiens (human). RNAcentral's name for it is "non-protein coding lnc-TNFAIP3-7:1". The record is from RNAcentral. Lineage: Eukaryota; Metazoa; Chordata; Mammalia; Primates; Hominidae.